GCUGACGAGUGGCGGACGGGUGAGUAACGCGUAGGAAUCUGCCUAUAAGUUGGGGACAACCCUUGGAAACAGGGGCUAAUACCGAAUAAGCUCUAAGGAGUAAAGUGUGCCUCUAUACUAUGCAUACGCUUAUAGAUGAGUCCGCGUUGGAUUAGCUAGAUGGUGGGGUAAAGGCCUACCAAGGCGACGAUCUAUAGCUGGUCUGAGAGGACGAUCAGCCACACUGGGACUGAGACACGGCCCAAACUCC
RNAcentral lists this ribosomal RNA (250 nucleotides) under uncultured bacterium. Its description in RNAcentral is "partial 16S ribosomal RNA". It matches the Rfam family "Bacterial small subunit ribosomal RNA", at positions 87 to 339 of the family's 1533-position model. The record is from RNAcentral.